Molecule: ribosomal RNA, 538 nt
Filed under: Bifidobacterium dentium
Lineage: Bacteria; Bacillati; Actinomycetota; Actinomycetes; Bifidobacteriales; Bifidobacteriaceae
Description: bacterial SSU rRNA
Rfam family: Bacterial small subunit ribosomal RNA
Source: RNAcentral
UCUCCUGGAAAACGGGUGGUAAUGCCGGAUGCUCCGGUUGGAUGCAUGUCCUUCCGGGAAAGGUUCCAUCGGUAUGGGAUGGGGUCGCGUCCUAUCAGCUUGAUGGCGGGGUAACGGCCCACCAUGGCUUCGACGGGUAGCCGGCCUGAGAGGGCGACCGGCCACAUUGGGACUGAGAUACGGCCCAGACUCCUACGGGAGGCAGCAGUGGGGAAUAUUGCACAAUGGGCGCAAGCCUGAUGCAGCGACGCCGCGUGCGGGAUGGAGGCCUUCGGGUUGUAAACCGCUUUUGAUCGGGAGCAAGCCCUUCGGGGUGAGUGUACCUUUCGAAUAAGCACCGGCUAACUACGUGCCAGCAGCCGCGGUAAUACGUAGGGUGCAAGCGUUAUCCGGAAUUAUUGGGCGUAAAGGGCUCGUAGGCGGUUCGUCGCGUCCGGUGUGAAAGCCCAUCGCUUAACGGUGGGUCUGCGCCGGGUACGGGCGGGCUGGAGUGCGGUAGGGAGAAACUGGAAUUCCCGGUGUAACGGUGGAAUGUGUA